CCUAAAUGCCUUCUAAAUUUCCUUCCAAGAGCAAUCUAGAUUAAGGCAAAAUUAUGUUUAUUAGAGAGUUUAAAAGGAGCUGUUCCCAGGGCUUGGAGAAAGGAAAUUCAGCUUUCUCCCUUCUUUGAAUGAAGCUCUCCUGCUCAAAUUUCAUCUCUGUAUAAUUUUCAGAUGUCUUCACGCACUCAUGGUAUGACACUCUUUCUCUCUGUCAUUCUCUUUCAGUUUGUACUGUGAAUCCAUGCAGAAUCCUACAAAUCCUGUGAAACUAAGUUUAAUGCCAAGAACUCUCCAGGAGUGAAAAUCUGUCAAUAUUCCAAUAGAAAAGAUGGAGCGGCAGUCGUGUGAUAAAGAUCUUCUAUGCAUUUUUUUCUGUUUUGCUACACCGUUUGAAAUGUCUUGUUCAGAUUACAUCAUUCAGUGCUUUUCUUCUUUAAUCUUGAAUUUGAAUGUACCUUGCCAUGCCUUAGAACUAUCAGCAGCAUGCAAUGAUUGUACAGUGUGAAAUGAUCCGAAAUGUCUGGGAUGAAUGGAGGAAACAGAGCCAGUUCGAUGAAAUAACCCAAAAUUGAGGUCAGGAGUAGUGUUAAUUGUCCUUUUAUAUCUCAGUUCCAUUUAUCCUGUCAUUAAUAGAGUGUGUUUUCCACUUCAGAGUUUGACCAGAGCCCAGAAUUCUUCCAAAUCCUCCUAUUUUAGGUAGUAUUUUCUAGGAAAAAAUCUUAUAUGUAACCACUCUUAAGUUAUACAUUUGCUUUUGAAGUAGAACAGCUUACCCUUAGCAUUGGAAAAACAGGAGGGAAACCUGUCAUGAAAAUAAUUUUCGUAAUUGAGAAAUUUUCCUGGGGGUUUCAUU
Molecule: long non-coding RNA, 853 nt
Filed under: Phasianus colchicus (ring-necked pheasant)
Lineage: Eukaryota; Metazoa; Chordata; Aves; Galliformes; Phasianidae
Description: lncRNA (ENSPCLG00000020796.1)
Source: RNAcentral